Molecule: ribosomal RNA, 160 nt
Filed under: Pichia fermentans
Lineage: Eukaryota; Fungi; Ascomycota; Pichiomycetes; Pichiales; Pichiaceae
Description: 5.8S ribosomal RNA
Rfam family: 5.8S ribosomal RNA
About the family: 5.8S ribosomal RNA (5.8S rRNA) is a component of the large subunit of the eukaryotic ribosome. It is transcribed by RNA polymerase I as part of the 45S precursor that also contains 18S and 28S rRNA. Functionally, it is thought that 5.8S rRNA may be involved in ribosome translocation.
Source: RNAcentral
AACUUUCAACAACGGAUCUCUUGGUUNUCGCAUCGAUGAAGAGCGCAGCGAAAUGCGAUACCUAAGUGGUUGAUUGGCAGCCAUCGUGAAUCAUCAAGUUCUUGAACGCACAUUGCGCCCCAUGGUAUUCCAUGGGGCAUGCCUGUCUGAGCGUCGUUUC